GUGAAAUCCCCGGGCUCAACCUGGGAACUGCAUUCGAAACUGGCAGGCUUGAGUCUUGUAGAGGGGGGUAGAAUUCCAGGUGUAGCGGUGAAAUGCGUAGAGAUCUGGAGGAAUACCGGUGGCGAAGGCGGCCCCCUGGACAAAGACUGACGCUCAGGUGCGAAAGCGUGGGGAGCAAACAGGAUUAGAUACCCUGGUAGUCCACGCCGUAAACGAUGUCUACUUGGAGGUUGUGCCCUUGAGGCGUGGCUUCCGGAGCUAACGCGUUAAGUAGACCGCCUGGGGAGUACGGCCGCAAGGUUAAAACUCAAAUGAAUUGACGGGGGCCCGCACAAGCGGUGGAGCAUGUGGUUUAAUUCGAUGCAACGCGAAGAACCUUACCUGGUCUUGACAUCCAC
RNAcentral lists this ribosomal RNA (398 nucleotides) under Salmonella enterica subsp. enterica serovar Kentucky. RNAcentral describes it as "bacterial SSU rRNA". It matches the Rfam family "Bacterial small subunit ribosomal RNA", at positions 594 to 991 of the family's 1533-position model. The record is from RNAcentral. Lineage: Bacteria; Pseudomonadati; Pseudomonadota; Gammaproteobacteria; Enterobacterales; Enterobacteriaceae.